ACGGAAGGCAGCAGUGGGGAAUAUUGCACAAUGGGCGCACGCCUGAUGCAGCGAUGCCGCGUGAGGGAAGAAGGUUUUCGGAUUGUAAACCUCUGUCAACAGGGACGAAAAUGACGGUACCUGUGAAGGAAGCUCCGGCUAACUACGUGCCAGCAGCCGCGGUAAUACGUGGGGAGAAAGCGUUAUCCGGAAUUACUGGGUGUAAAGGGAGUGUAGGCGGGACUGUAAGUCAGAUGUGAAAUAUGCCGGCUCAACUGGCAGACUGCAUUUGAAACUGCGGUUCUUGAGUGAAGUAGAGGGAAGCGGAAUUCCUAGUGUAGCGGUGAAAUGCGUAGAUAUUAGGAGGAACAUCAGUGGCGAAGGCGGCUUACUGGGCUUUAACUGACGCUGAGGCUCGAAAGCGUGGGGAGCAAACAGGAUUAGAUACCCUGGUA
RNAcentral lists this ribosomal RNA (434 nucleotides) under uncultured Ruminococcus sp. Its description in RNAcentral is "partial 16S ribosomal RNA". It matches the Rfam family "Bacterial small subunit ribosomal RNA", at positions 341 to 792 of the family's 1533-position model. Lineage: Bacteria; Bacillati; Bacillota; Clostridia; Eubacteriales; Oscillospiraceae. The record is from RNAcentral.